CCUACGGGUGGCAGCAGUAGGGAAUAUUGCUCAAUGGGGGAAACCCUGAAGCAGCAACGCCGCGUGGAGGAUGAAGGUUUUAGGAUUGUAAACUCCUUUUGUUAGAGAAGAUUAUGACGGUAUCUAACGAAUAAGCACCGGCUAACUCCGUGCCAGCAGCCGCGGUAAUAAGGAGGGUGCAAGCGUUAUUCGGAAUCACUGGGCGUAAAGAGUGCGUAGGUGGGGUAAUAAGUCAGAUGUGAAAUCCUGGAGUUUAACUACCGAACUGCAUUUGAAACUGUUACUCUGGAGUGUGAGAGAGGUAGGUGGAAUUCUUGGUGUAGGGGUGAAAGCCGUAGAGAUCAAGAGGAAUACUGAUUGCGAAGGCAGCAUGCUGGCACCUUACUGACGCUGAUGCACGAAAGCGUGGGGAGCGAACAGGAUUAGAUACCCUUGUAGUC
This 440-nucleotide ribosomal RNA is filed under the name uncultured bacterium. RNAcentral's name for it is "partial 16S ribosomal RNA". It matches the Rfam family "Bacterial small subunit ribosomal RNA", at positions 338 to 795 of the family's 1533-position model. The record is from RNAcentral.